UACGGAAGGCAGCAGUGGGGAAUAUUGCACAAUGGGCGCAAGCCUGAUGCAGCCAUGCCGCGUGUAUGAAGAAGGGCCUUCGGGUUGUAAAGUACUUUCAGUCGUGAGGAAGGUGUUAAGGUUAAUAACCUUAGCAAUUGACGUUAGCGACAGAAGAAGCACCGGCUAACUCCGUGCCAGCAGCCGCGGUAAUACGGAGGGUGCGAGCGUUAAUCGGAAUUACUGGGCGUAAAGGGCACGCAGGCGGUUAAUUAAGUUGGAUGUGAAUCCCCGGGCUUAACCUGGGAAUGGCAUUCAAGACUGGUUAGCUAGAGUCUUGUAGAGGGGGUAGAAUUCCAUGUGUAGCGGUGAAAUGCGUAGAGAUGUGGAGGAAUACCGGGUGGCGAAGGCGGCCCCUGGGACAAAGACUGACGCUCAUGUGCGAAAGCGUGGGGAGCAAACGAGGAUUAGAUACC
This 455-nucleotide ribosomal RNA is filed under the name uncultured bacterium. RNAcentral's name for it is "bacterial SSU rRNA". It matches the Rfam family "Bacterial small subunit ribosomal RNA", at positions 340 to 786 of the family's 1533-position model. The record is from RNAcentral.